AUUGAACGCUGGCGGCAGGCCUAACACAUGCAAGUCGAGCGGAUGAAGGGAGCUUGCUCCUGUAUUCAGCGGCGGACGGGUGAGUAAUGCCUAGGAAUCUGCCUUGUAGUUGGGGAUAACGUCCGGAAACGGGCGCUAAUACCGCAUACGUCCUGAGGUAGAAAGUGGGGGAUCUUCGGACCUCACGCUAUCAGCUGAGCCUAGGUCGGAUUAGCUAGUUGGUGGGGUAAAGGCCUACCAAGGCGACGAUCCGUAACUGGUCUGAGAGGAUGAUCAGUCACACUGGAACUGAGACACGGUCCAGACUCCUACGGGAGGCAGCAGUGGGGAAUAUUGGACAAUGGGCGAAAGCCUGAUCCAGCCAUGCCGCGUGAGUGAAGAAGGUCUUCGGAUUGUAAAGCACUUUAAGUUGGGAGGAAGGGAAGUAAGUUAAUACCUUGCUGUUUUGACGUUACCAACAGAAUAAGCACCGGCUAACUUCGUG
RNAcentral lists this ribosomal RNA (484 nucleotides) under uncultured bacterium. RNAcentral describes it as "partial 16S ribosomal RNA". It matches the Rfam family "Bacterial small subunit ribosomal RNA", at positions 30 to 507 of the family's 1533-position model. The record is from RNAcentral.